GAUGAACGCUGGCGGCGUGCCUAAUACAUGCAAGUCGAGCGAACGGACGAGAAGCUUGCUUCUCUGAUGUUAGCGGCGGACGGGUGAGUAACACGUGGAUAACCUACCUAUAAGACUGGGAUAACUUCGGGAAACCGGAGCUAAUACCGGAUAAUAUUUUGAACCGCAUGGUUCAAAAGUGAAAGACGGUCUUGCUGUCACUUAUAGAUGGAUCCGCGCUGCAUUAGCUAGUUGGUAAGGUAACGGCUUACCAAGGCAACGAUGCAUAGCCGACCUGAGAGGGUGAUCGGCCACCCUGGAACUGAGACACGGUCCAGGCUCCUACGGGAGGCAGCAGUAGGGAAUCUUCCGCAGUGGGCGAAAGCCUUACGGAGCAACGCCGCGUGAGUGAUGAAGGUCUUCGGAUCGUAAAACUCUGUUAUUAGGGAAGAACAUAUGUGUAAGUAACUGUGCACAUCUUGACGGUACCUAAUCAGAAAGCCGCGGCUAACUACGUG
RNAcentral lists this ribosomal RNA (497 nucleotides) under uncultured bacterium. RNAcentral's name for it is "partial 16S ribosomal RNA". It matches the Rfam family "Bacterial small subunit ribosomal RNA", at positions 28 to 507 of the family's 1533-position model. The record is from RNAcentral.